This 446-nucleotide ribosomal RNA is filed under the name uncultured soil bacterium. Its description in RNAcentral is "bacterial SSU rRNA". It matches the Rfam family "Bacterial small subunit ribosomal RNA", at positions 26 to 476 of the family's 1533-position model. The record is from RNAcentral.
AGAUUGAACGCUGGCGGCAUGCUUUACACAUGCAAGUCGAACGGCAGCACGGGGGCAACCUUGGUGGCGAGUGGCGAACGGGUGAGUAAUAUAUCGGAACGUACCCGGAAAUGGGGGAUAACGUAGCGAAAGUUACGCUAAUACCGCAUAUGCCCUGAGGGGAAAGCGGGGAUUCGUAAGAACCUCGCGUUCUCGGAGCGGCCGAUAUCGGAUUAGCUAGUAGGUGAGGUAAAGGCUCACCUAGGCGACGAUCCGUAGCUGGUCUGAGAGGACGACCAGCCACACUGGAACUGAGACACGGUCCAGACUCCGUACGGGAGCAGCAGUGGGGAAUUUGGACAAGUGGGCGCGAAGCCUGAUCCGAGCCAUCGCCGCGUGAGUGAAGAAGGCCUUGGGUUAGUAAGCUCUUCAGACCGUAAAGAAACGUACGAACGGUUAACUACCGU